RNAcentral lists this ribosomal RNA (504 nucleotides) under uncultured bacterium. RNAcentral describes it as "bacterial SSU rRNA". It matches the Rfam family "Bacterial small subunit ribosomal RNA", at positions 7 to 507 of the family's 1533-position model. The record is from RNAcentral.
GAGAGUUUGAUCCUGGCUCAGAUUGAACGCUGGCGGAAUGCUUUACACAUGCAAGUCGAGCGGCAGCGCGGGGCAACCUGGCGGCGAGCGGCGAACGGGUGAGUAAUACAUCGGAACGUGCCCAGACGUGGGGGAUAACUACUCGAAAGAGUGGCUAAUACCGCAUACGAUCUAAGGAUGAAAGCGGGGGAUCGCAAGACCUCGCGCGUUUGGAGCGGCCGAUGGCAGAUUAGGUAGUUGGUGGGGUAAAGGCUUACCAAGCCCGCGAUCUGUAGCUGGUCUGAGAGGAUGAUCAGCCACACUGGGACUGAGACACGGCCCAGACUCCUACGGGAGGCAGCAGUGGGGAAUUUUGGACAAUGGGCGAAAGCCCUGAUCCAGCCAUUCCGCGUGCAGGAUGAAGGCCCUCGGGUUGUAAACUGCUUUUGUACAGAACGAAAAAGCUCUUUCUAAUACAGAGAGUCCAUGACGGUACUGUAAGAAUAAGCACCGGCUAACUACGUG